AUUGAACGCUGGCGGCAUGCCUUACACAUGCAAGUCGAACGGUAACAGGUCUUCGGAUGCUGACGAGUGGCGAACGGGUGCGUAAUACAUCGGAACGUGCCCGAUCGUGGGGGAUAACGGAGCGAAAGCUUUGCUAAUACCGCAUACGAUCUACGGAUGAAAGCAGGGGACCGCAAGGCCUUGCGCGGACGGAGCGGCCGAUGGCAGAUUAGGUAGUUGGUGGGAUAAAAGCUUACCAAGCCGACGAUCUGUAGCUGGUCUGAGAGGACGACCAGCCACACUGGGACUGAGACACGGCCCAGACUCCUACGGGAGGCAGCAGUGGGGAAUUUUGGACAAUGGGCGAAAGCCUGACCCAGCCAUGCCGCGUGCAGGAUGAAGGCCUUCGGGUUGUAAACUGCUUUUGUACGGAACGAAAAGACUCUUUCUAAUAAAGAGGGUCCAUGACGGUACCGUAAGAAUAAGCACCGGCUAACUACGUG
RNAcentral lists this ribosomal RNA (482 nucleotides) under uncultured bacterium. RNAcentral describes it as "partial 16S ribosomal RNA". It matches the Rfam family "Bacterial small subunit ribosomal RNA", at positions 30 to 507 of the family's 1533-position model. The record is from RNAcentral.